AAUGAACGCUGGCGGCGUGCCUAACACAUGCAAGUCGAGCGAGAAAUCCCGGGUUCGCCUGGGAGAGUACAGCGGCGCACGGGUGAGUAACGCGUGGGUAACCUGCCCUCGAGUGGGGGAUAACCUUCCGAAAGGAGGACUAAUCCCGCAUACGUCAUCAGGACACAAGUCCUGAUGGGGAAAGAUGGCCUCUGUUUACAAGCUAUCGCUCUUGGAUGGGCCCGCGUUGGAUUAGCUAGUUGGUGAGGUAACGGCUCACCAAGGCCGCGAUCCAUAACUGGUUUGAGAGGACGACCAGUCACACUGGAACUGAGACACGGUCCAGACUCCUACGGGAGGCAGCAGUGGGGAAUUUUGGACAAUGGGCGCAAGCCUGAUCCAGCCAUUCCGCGUGCAGGAUGAAGGCCUUCGGGUUGUAAACUGCUUUUGUACGGUAACGAAACGGCGAGCUCUAACUACAGUUUGCUAACUGACGUACCGUAAGAAUAAGCACCGGCUAACGUACGUGACCG
RNAcentral lists this ribosomal RNA (512 nucleotides) under uncultured bacterium. RNAcentral describes it as "bacterial SSU rRNA". It matches the Rfam family "Bacterial small subunit ribosomal RNA", at positions 29 to 511 of the family's 1533-position model. The record is from RNAcentral.